RNAcentral lists this ribosomal RNA (407 nucleotides) under uncultured bacterium. RNAcentral's name for it is "partial 16S ribosomal RNA". It matches the Rfam family "Bacterial small subunit ribosomal RNA", at positions 28 to 526 of the family's 1533-position model. The record is from RNAcentral.
GAUGAACGCUAGCUACAGGCUUAACACAUGCAAGUCGAGGGACCGGCGUACGGGUGAGUAACGCGUAUCCAACCUUCCCAUUACUGUGGGAUAACCUGCCGAAAGGCAAACUAAUACCGCAUAGUAAGGGAUGGGGAUGCGUUUGAUUAGCUUGUUGGCGGGGUAACGGCCCACCAAGGCGACGUUCAGUGGGGGUUCUGAGAGGAAGGUACCCUACAGUUGAACUGCGACACAGUCCAAACUCGUACGGAAGGCAGGAGUGAGGUGUAUUGUUCGAUGGACGGAAGUGUUACCCAGCCACGUGGCGGGCAGGAUGACGGCCUAUGGGAUGUAAACUGCUUUUGAAUGGGGAUAGGUACCAUAUGAAUAAGGACCGGCUAAGUCCGUGCCAGCAGCCGCGGUAAUAC